ACAGAGCAGUUCCCUGUUGGCAGGCCAGGCAGUAACAUUGCCUGGCUGCAAGGCUGCAUGCAACAUCCAGGAGGCAACAACUCAUCCAUAUGCACUAAGAGUUACAAAAGAGUCCCAAUCCAGACACAGCUAACGAGUGAAAGCUCGGGGAACGUUGUUAGCUGGGAUUCAUUCAAGCAUGAACUCCAGCUCUGUUGUUAGAUCUGAUUCUUUAACAACGUCUCUGGUCUUCUGGCACCACUCAGGAAACACAAAGGAGCCACAACUGGCCAUCAGAGACUUCUCUUGUUGGAAGGCGACUCCCUCCUGGCUAAAAUACUCUAGCUCUGGAUCCUCUGUGUCUGACCCUCACUCCUGCAAUAAAAAGAAGCAUGUUGAAGAGAGAGAGAGAGGGCAGAGCAGAGCUGCAUAGGAUGUUAAACCAGCCAGACAACUUACAGCUGCCUGUCAGCAACCUUCAUUUGCCUUGCAGCUAAGGCCGGCCCCUAGAAAUAGGAAGUUAGGUCUCUGGUUUCAAAUUCUACAUGCACGAGUAUGGACAUUAAGAUGGAGAGUUUCCCCACCCGCCUCUG
Molecule: long non-coding RNA, 572 nt
Organism: Alligator mississippiensis (American alligator)
Lineage: Eukaryota; Metazoa; Chordata; Crocodylia; Alligatoridae
Exons: 3
Source: RefSeq, a predicted model, not a curated record